ACAAAGAAGCUUUAAAUAAUAUAUUUUGCCAGCCCAUAAUUAAAAUUUGGAUUAGAUUAACCACAGAAACUGUUUUGCUCACAUAAUAAUAGCAGCAAAACAAUUUCACAAAAAUCAACUUUAGACUAAUUUUUUAUAUAUAUAAGGUGAAAAUUUUAAUAAAAACAGUAUCAAGCUGAUACUGUAAAAAAAAUCAACUUUAGACUAAUGAUGAAUACGUUAAUAAAUAGUUUCAUAUUAGGCCAAGUAGAGUCACUUAAAAAUUAAAAUCAAUCUAUCUGUCCAUUAAGAUCAGUUGGAUCGACUAUAUGAAUUACUUCAGCUCAGUAAGAAAAUUACUUGAUAUAAGUCUGGUAUUACUAGAAGUGAAAUAUGACUUUUGGCAUAUGCCAAGGCAAGAGCUCCCGCAAAUGCAGAUGUUAAGAACAAAUGUUUUGUCCAAUCAACAAUGAACAGUAGAGAAUGUAAAUUCAAGAAGAUCACACUUAAUUUGACAUCCAAGUGCCACUAACAUGGAGCUAAACAAGUAUGCUCAAUGCAAUUAACAAUAGAGAAUGUAAAUUCAAGAAGAUCACACUUAAUUUGGCAUCCAAGUGCCACUAACAUGGAGCUAAACAAGUAGAAACCCAGACAUACUGAAAAGAUGAAGGAAUUCACUAUAAGUCUCUACUGCAAAAAUAGAUCUCUCUUUUUUCCCGAAGUGGUCCACUGCAAACAUAGAUCACAGCAUAUAAGCAACUGAAUAGAGACUGAUGAUAUCAUGCAAAAUGGAGGUGUACCUAUUAUGGUUACAAUCCAACAGCACUACAAGAUCUUCAGUUCAACCUCACAAUCACGAAGAAACAAAUCAAACCACUUGAACAAUUCUAACUUCAAGUAAAUUGUACUCAUACACAUUUUACUGGUCUAAAGAUUGGAUCAAAACCACUAUUCAAACCAAGUCGG
RNAcentral lists this long non-coding RNA (945 nucleotides) under Nicotiana benthamiana. RNAcentral's name for it is "long non-coding RNA (NBEN_LNC020120)". Lineage: Eukaryota; Viridiplantae; Streptophyta; Magnoliopsida; Solanales; Solanaceae. The record is from RNAcentral.